CACGUAGGGUGCGAGCGUUGUCCGGAUUUAAGUUGGGCGUAAAGGGCCCGUAGGCGGUUUGGUAAGUCGGGAUGUCAAAACUCCAGGCUCAACCUGGAGCGGCCAUCCGAUACUGCCAUGACUUGAGUCUGGUAGGGGAGUGCGGAAUUCCUGGUGUAGCGGUGAAAUGCGCAGAUAUCAGGAGGAACACCGGUGGCGAAGGCGGCACUCUGGGCCAGCUACUGACGCUGAUGGGCGAAAGCGUGGGGAGCAAACAGG
This 258-nucleotide ribosomal RNA is filed under the name uncultured bacterium. RNAcentral's name for it is "partial 16S ribosomal RNA". It matches the Rfam family "Bacterial small subunit ribosomal RNA", at positions 524 to 776 of the family's 1533-position model. The record is from RNAcentral.